UCUGUAACUGCCAUUCAGUAACUGUCACCUCAAAGAUGCCAAUCAGCUGCCUCCUGGGACAACUUAGCAAAGCUAUCCAAAAUCCGUGGAACCUUCUUCCCUUUUCUUUUCCCCAAAGUUAUCACGCUGUUGAACAGUUUCCUGUUCCAGGCAUUGUCCACGCAAUGAAAGUCUAAGGAUAGCCCAAGACAAGAACACGAUAUUGCAGCAGCUCACAGAAGAAGGGCUCUGGAACAAGAGGCUUCAUCCACAGUAGGAGAGCUCUGGAGAAGGGUUAGUAAAUAAGGUAUCAGACACUGGCAAGUGUGAAGGCAUGGUUUGUUCUGCAGCACUCAU
This 336-nucleotide long non-coding RNA is filed under the name Rattus norvegicus (Norway rat). Its description in RNAcentral is "long non-coding RNA NONRATT032506". The record is from RNAcentral. Lineage: Eukaryota; Metazoa; Chordata; Mammalia; Rodentia; Muridae.